RNAcentral lists this signal recognition particle RNA (91 nucleotides) under Pseudomonas aeruginosa. Its description in RNAcentral is "signal recognition particle sRNA small type". The stretch from base 6 to 85 matches the Rfam family "Bacterial small signal recognition particle RNA". From Rfam's summary of the family: The signal recognition particle (SRP) is a universally conserved ribonucleoprotein involved in the co-translational targeting of proteins to membranes. Archaeal SRP consists of a 7S RNA and homologues of the eukaryotic SRP19 and SRP54 proteins. In most bacteria, the SRP consists of a 4.5S RNA and the Ffh protein (a homologue of the eukaryotic SRP54 protein). Lineage: Bacteria; Pseudomonadati; Pseudomonadota; Gammaproteobacteria; Pseudomonadales; Pseudomonadaceae. The record is from RNAcentral.
AAACGUAAGCCGCAACGAUUACCCGUCAACCUGGUCAGGUCCGGAAGGAAGCAGCCACAGCGGGAACAUUGUGUGCCGGGGUGUGGCUGGC